This 459-nucleotide ribosomal RNA is filed under the name uncultured bacterium. RNAcentral's name for it is "partial 16S ribosomal RNA". It matches the Rfam family "Bacterial small subunit ribosomal RNA", at positions 338 to 795 of the family's 1533-position model. The record is from RNAcentral.
CCUACGGGAGGCAGCAGUGAGGAAUAUUGGUCAAUGGGCGCGAGCCUGAACCAGCCAAGUCGCGUGAGGGAAGACGGUCCUAUGGAUGGUAAACCUCUUUUGUCGGGGCGCAAAAGACGCCACGCGUGGCGUUCCGAGAGUACCCGAAGAAAAAGCAUCGGCUAACUCCGUGCCAGCAGCCGCGGUAAUACGGAGGAUGCGAGCGUUCUCCGGAGGUAUUCGGUUUAAAGGGAGCGCAGGCAGAAGAUCACGUCAGCGGGAAAAUUGAGAGGCUCAACCACUUAGAGCCGUUGAAACUGGUUUUCUUGAGUGAGCGAGAAGUAUGCGGAAUGCGGGGUGUAGCGGUGAAAUGCAUAGAUAUCACGCAGAACUCCGAUUGCGAAGGCAGCAUACCGGCGCUCAACUGACGCUCAUGCACGAAAGUGUGGGUAUCGAACAGGAUUAGAUACCCCUGUAGUC